RNAcentral lists this long non-coding RNA (8608 nucleotides) under Pelobates cultripes (western spadefoot toad). Lineage: Eukaryota; Metazoa; Chordata; Amphibia; Anura; Pelobatidae. The record is from RNAcentral.
CACAUACACACAGACAAACACACACCUCCGACAGACACAUACAUACACAUACAUACAGACACACACAUACAUACACACAGGCAGAUGUAAGGAAGUAAAAUGGUUAACUCUUUUUGCUUUAUAUGCUUUAAAAUAAUGUUUGAAAUAAUUAUGCUGACUUUGGCAGAUGUAUUUUGUACCAAGGUCUUUCCUCUACAGGAUGUAUGACCUUCCUUGACCUUAGGAUGUUCCUGUCUCGUCUUCAUCCAAAUGCUUAUCUUUUUCAUGUCCGACAAGUAUGUACUAUUAACCACAAGGACACUAUAGAUCUCACUGCUUGCAUGAGAAAUUGUGUAUAAAUGCUAGCCCUGAAAAUAUACUCAUUGAGAACUUGUUAUGCACUCUUUCGUGUCUGUGUGUCUUAUUUGCUAAACAAGAUCUCCCAUCAAUUGAUGUGGUGAUCGAAGGAGCGAGAAUCGAGGGGAGUUGAGUCCAGAACAGCAUUUAUCCUUUCAGCUUGGUGUCUAGAAGUGGGAUCAGCAAAACCAUUGGGUGAGUAGCCUUUUUGUGUCUUAUUGACGCUAAUUGUCUAUGACCCCCUUUGGUUUAGUAAGUCUGUAUCCAGUAGAAAGGAAAGGUAUAAGGACUUAGUUAUAUUGAGACUGUAAAUAGGUCUCCGGUUUAUUAGACAUUUGGUCUAAAUAUAUAUAGGGUUUUUGUAACCCAGGUUAGUAUCUAAGAUAGAUACAGGGUAUCUCAGGUAGAUACAGGUUUUGAGACUAUAAAGGAGUCUCCGGUUUAUUAAUACUAUAAGUGUUCUAGGGAACACGGUUCAUAGAUCUAGAAUAACCCAAACUUCUCGUUCCUUUGGUCAUCCUGUGUCUGCUUUGUGUUUAUUUUGCUUGUUAAGUAGAGACACACUAUUGGUAAGUAGGUAGUGUCUCUACCCUGAGCCAGAAAUAUGGGAAAUAAUCAGUCUAUUUCUUACCCUUUACCCCACCCAGGGGAGUCAUGUCUAAAUUAUGUUACUAGAAUAGGAGCACAAGGAGGAUUUCUUACAAUCCCCUUUGUGUCAAAUUUAGCAGGAUGGACAGAGACUAUGAAGUCAUCUGAUCCUUUUCCCAGGUCUGGGGCUAAUGAUGAUUUUCAUAUGAAUAUGAUUCGAGGAUUGUGUUUGGGAGAUAGGAAGUCAUGGCCGUGGUAUGGUCCUGAUCCAGAUUGGGAUAAGGAAUAUAUGAAAGCAGGAGGUGAAAAUUGGUUGCUGAUAGCCCCUCAUUGGUUUCCUUGUAGUGUAACAGGAAAGGUUUUAAAGGGAGCUAAGAAACACCUGGCUAAGAGAAAGGGAACUGUUGACAGUAAUACUAUUUGCUUUUCUAUAGAAGCCCCUCCUGAUAAUCUAUAUCCACCACCAACUGUGACCCCUACCCAGUUAGCCCCCGGCCAUGCCCAACCACAACCCCCACCUCCCUCAGAGGAUGAUAUAGAGGAUAUUUCUGUUGCUGCAGCUGUUAAUUCACAAUCACAGCAAUUACAGGAAUCAUCAUCUACACCAGAUUCUGAUAUAGAAUACCCACCGCCACCUCCUGGUACAGUUAAAUUAACAGUACAAACAGGAGUUAAACUUAAAAGUGGCAAGGUGUUAAAAUCAUAUGUACAUAAGAUGAUGAUGAUGUAGAGAUGCCAGAAUUAGAAGGUGCUGAUCUUACUGCCCCGUUCCCGUUUAUGACUGUUGGUAAUCAGUUAAUAAUGAAACCCAUUAAUCCCGGAGUACUCAAGGAUAUUAUUCAAGGUGCCCCAAACCCCCGUACUAAUCCCUCUGCAUGCCUAAUGUAUCUGAAAAGAAUGUGUUUAGGACAGAACAUGACACAGAUAGACAUACAGUUAAUUAUAAAUGGAAUAUUAGGGUAUGAUUCAGAUUCUGGUUGGAAUUGGUCUAAUGUACCCUCUAUCAGUGAGACAGACAACGGUACUGGAGUUGGAGUGGCUGGCAGUGAUGGUGUUUAUGAGCUUAGUACUUCAGCAGGAUGUGCUAAAAUGUGGGAUGAGGUGGAAGCUGAAAUGUUGAGAUUAUGGAAGAAUAAGCAGUCUAUAUCCACUGCUUUGGCAUGUAAGCAAGGUGCAAAGGAAGAGAUUGGUGUUUUUGUAAAGAGAUUUUACAAGUGUUGGAAGGAUGAGGCAGGUCUGAAGUCUGGAGAUGAUAUGGAUCUCCUUAAAAUACAGUCAUGCCUUGGUAAUAUGUUGCCACAGUAUUCUUUGCUUGUGAAACAGUUGAUUUCAGACUGGGCCAAUUUGGGUGGCUCAGAUUUUCUUACCAAGGUUAUUGAGAAGGAAAAUGCAGGUUGUUUUGAUUUAAGAAAAGAUUCAGGAAGUAAGGUUGCGUAUUAUGCUCAGGGAUUGCAACACUGUCCACCUACACAGGCCCGAGAGAGAGGAUGGGAUGGAGCACAUAGAGCCUGUGGAAGGGGUGGUCAAAGAGGGGCAAGGGGAUGGAGACAGGGAAAUCAGGGUUAUAGGGGCAGGGGUAACCAAGGAGGAAUAGACAGGAACACUUGUUUCAACUGUGGGCAGAAUGGCCACUGGAGGAAUGAGUGUCCACACCCCAGGAAACCCCAGCAGCCCCAACAACCCCACAAUUAUCAAAAUACGCCCGGUAGGCAAGAACAACACCAGGCCCACUCCCAACACCACUGGCCAGCACUUCCCUCUCCCCCCUCCCCCCCGCUCCAGCAAACCCAAACUGCAUUAGGGCCAUUCACAGGUACCACUGACCAGCACACCCAUCACAUCCCAUGGCCCCAAUAGGGCUGCCUUGAAGGUGACACUCCAACUUUUCCACUUUUGUCCUCUACUAAUGAUGAUCAGCCUUUUUGUAUUCUGGUCAUAGAAGGUAGAUCCUUGCCAUUUUUGGUAGAUACUGGAGCUACGUGUUCCAGUCUCUGUGAUACCUAUUAUCAGGGGACAAGGGAAAAGUCUACACCUUCAUUGGGUAUUAAUGGAGUGUCAACCCCCACUUUUGUCACACCACCACUGUCUGUUUUUUGUCCUCUUAAUGGUUCUUCUACCAUGCACCCUUUUCGUUUAAUACCUAAAUGUCCUGUCAAUUUGCUGGGAAGGGAUCUUCUUGGUAUUCUGGGAGCUACUAUUACUUGCACGCCCUCUGGUGGUAUUGAUGUGUCUAUGUUGUGUUCUGAAACUAUUGAUUUGUCUGAUGUUCCUUCUUCUGUGUGGGCUUCAUCUAAGUUAGAUGUAGGAUUUGUCAACUGCACCCCUUACAAAGCCAAACUAAAACCAGCUGUAACUCCUAUCUACCUUAAACAGUACCCCCUGUCAGAAGCCAAGGUUGAGGGAGUUCGCCCCAUGAUCCAAUCUUUUCUAGAGCAGGGAAUACUAAAGCCAGUAGUUUCUCCAUAUAACACACCUAUUAAUCCAGUUCCUAAAGGUAAUGGUUAUCGCUUAGUUCAGGAUUUUAGAGCCCUGAAUAGUUUAAUUGUGCCCAUUGCACCCAUUGUCCCUGAUGUGACAUCCCUCAUUACAGCCAUUCCACAUGAUGCCACUUGCUUCACUGUCAUUGAUUUAAGUAAUGCAUUUUUUUCUAUACCUAUUGAUCAAGAGACACAGCUACUUAUGGCUUUUACUUUUGAAGGCUGUCAGUAUACCUGGACACGCUUACCCCAAGGCUAUGUGGAUUCCCCAGCCGUUUAUUCGCUGGUACUCCAACAUACUCUAAAAACAUGGACCCCCGGUCAUGGUUCCGUCCUUUUGCAAUAUGUUGAUGACUUAUUGUUAUGUAGCCCUAGCUAUGAGGCAAGCACUGUGGAUACUGUCAAUUUGCUCAAACACUUAGCAACUGUGGGUCACAAGGUUGAAAAACACAAAAUGCAAUUGUGUAAAUCAAAGGUUGAUUACUUAGGUUUUGUUCUGGCUUCAGGCACCAGACAAUUGAGUCCAAAACGUAUUGAGGUCAUUCAGAGGAUUCCUAAACCCACUACUCGGAAGGAGUUGCUCACCUUCCUCGGCAUGAUUAAUUACUGCCGCCAAUGGAUCCCUGAAUGCUCCCAUUAUGACUCAAUCCUAAGGGAGGCUGUACGUUCUGACAGCCCUGAAAAUGUCUGCUGAUCACCAGACAUGCUAGCUGCGUAUAUUGCUCUCAAAGUUGCUAUUGUACAAGCCCCGGCUUUAGGACUACCUGUGUAUUGUAAACCAUUUCAUUUGUAUGCUCGGGACAACUGUAAAACCAUGGCCACGGUCUGUGCACAAGAGCUGACUUUGAUUUUUGGAUUAAACAAGGUUUAGAAAAAGAUCAGAAUGAUCUUUUCUCUAGAGAGGGGAAGAUAGGCAUACCUGAAGCCAGCUGUUUUAUCUUUAUCAGUCAGGCCCAUGGUCCUGGCCACAAGAGCAUAGCAAGUACCAUCCAAUUCCUCAUGAAUUCAUUUUAUAUUAGGAAUCUCAGGCAGCAUGUACAGUCUUUCGUUAGAUUGUGUGAACCAUGUAUGAGAACACAUCCGAAUAUUCCACACAAAUCACAGCACGAACAUUUGCCCCCUCCAGCUGCUCCUUUUACACACUUACAGAUUGAUUUUACUCAUGUACCCAAAAUUGGUAAGAAACAGCAAUACUUACUGGUCAUAGUUGAUCAGUUUAGUAGAUGGCCUGAGGCCUUUGUGACAUCUAGGGAGGAUGCUAGGACGGUAGUGAAGAUUCUUGCUACUGAAAUUAUUCCCAGGUAUGGCUGCCCUCUGCAGAUUAACUCUGAUAAUGGCCCGGCUUUUGCUAGUAAGGUUACCCAGGAACUUGCUAAAUUCUUGCAAGUUACCUGGAAGUUUCAUAUACCCUAUCAUCCACAGAGUUCAGGGGUAGUUGAAAGGAUGAAUAGGACCAUUAAGGAGAAGCUUAUGAAAGCUACUGCAGGAACAUGGGUAAAUUGGACAAAAUAUCUUCCAGCUAUUUUAGCUGAGAUAAGAAUGACUCCUCACAAGGUGACUAAAUUAUCUCCAUUUGAGAUUCUGAUGGGACAACCUUUUCCCACACCCUGGGCCAGGGAACCGCUUGUUAUAAUGUCUGGGGAUUUACAGCUAAUACAAGAACAAUAUGUACAGGAAUUGUUGAUAAAACUGAAUGGUAUAUAUGGCAAUGUUUCUUUGCAGUUUCCCUUACCUUCACAGGAACCUACUCAUCCAUACCAGCCUGGUGACAAGGUGUAUAUCCGUCAGCUGAAUAGGACCAAGAAAGGAGGAUACCCUUUCGGACCACCUGCUACUGUGAUUGCUGUAACCAGAACCGCUGUCCUCACAGAUUCCCACGACAUCUGGAUUCACGCAUCCCGAGUGAAGCUGUGUCCAAAGAGGGGAACCAAGGAAGACAACACCACUCCUCACUCGGAAAGAGAAGAAUUUCCCCUUAGCAAAGCAUCAUGGCUUUCACACCAUAUCGUAGAUUGAGAGGAUCAUACGAACCUGAGACCAAGAUUAUGUUGUGCGCUAUGCUUUCUGGAGUUGUUAUACUCCCUCUGAUAUUAUUCCUUGAAUGCCAUUAUGAGUACAAGUCAAUGGGAAGUUUGAAACCUGUUUGUUUCUGGAGAAAUGACUCUGACAUGAUGAACAAUUCUUCAAUACCCCCAGCCCAAUUAGGCCUUAGCCCCUCAUCUAGCACUCGUCACACAUGCUCCCUCAAGAACCUUUCUCCACCACCUAUCUAUCAGCAUGUAAUAUGCAAGCACUCAUUGACUGAACACAUAUGGAUGAACUGGAUAAAUAAUAACCCUUACAAGUACCAGUUACCCAUAUGGAAUGUGUCCACAGCUAAUGAAACCGAUGCAUUAUGUUUGUUUGAAGGUUCACGGAAAAUUGUUAGAUCUUAUAACGCAGAAAUGUGCACAGUUAAGGUUGCUAAUUACACCAGCAUCUGUGCCACCUUAUUUAAUAUAAGUUCUGAUGGUAAAAAAAACAAACACCUAAACAGGUUUGGGAUAUAUAUUAUAAGAAAAUUAGUAAGGUUGCAUAUCAAUGUAAACAGACAGGCCUUAUUAUUUUUAAUAAUGAUUAUACAACUGGUACCAUUAAUUGGAAAAGGGGACAAAUGUUAGUCAUUAUGAAUGACACUGUGAUUGAGAACUGUACACUAUCUUAUAUUUUUACACCUUAUUACUGUCCUUCAUCCACUAUCAUAGAACCAAAAGUCAACCACGACACACACACACCUAUUCCGUCCACAUGUGUUAAUACAACUGCCUUCUUACAAGCUGUACAUGUGUCAUUAAAAAAUCACUACUCCUGUUGUAACAAUAUGUAACACAGCAAACAAAAGGCAGAAAAGGGAAUGGUAUGACACACUGUUAGGAGGUGCUGGAACCACUAUGGGUAUACUAAAUAGUAUAGACGUGGAGACCCUCAAGAAUAAGUUAAACACGGCCAGCAUGCAUAUAGGGACUGGUUUCCAUACUACUGCAAACUGGGCUCCAAUUGUUGUUAAAUCACAGGUUACAGGAUUGGAUUUAGAUACAUCAAUGUAUAACUAUUUAGGUAAUUUAACUGUUGCAACUAUGAAAUUCACUACAGAUCUUGGUAACUGGAGUACUUGUGCCAUCAGGUAUUUAUGGAUGCAACAACAAAGACUGGCAUUAGAAGACACACUAAUGAUUCCUAAACUAGAGAAGAUUAAAGGGAUGCUUGACCUCACAGAUAAUGAAUGGUUACUUCUGAAACCCCAAUCCACUAAAUGCAAUGAAUGGUUAACUGGUAAUGUUUCACAUUUUUCAUGCUCAUGCUAUUUUACACUAUAUCAUACAUCAUCAAAGGAUGUUAAAUUAGCUUGUCAAUUUAACACAUUACCAGUACCAGUUUAUGAUCUCUUUACCAGGAAUUUAACCUGGUGGGCACCCACAUACACAGGGGACUAUAUUUUCCCCAAAGAUAAUAUGACCUAUUCCCUUAAACACUGUGUUCUCACUGACAAAGGAUAUGCAUGUUGACACUCGUCCCCUAUUUAUGAACCAUGCUUACUCCAAAAUGAACUUAACAAGUGCAUAUGGCACAUAUAUCCUGAAAAUUAUUUUACCAUGACUGAAAUAAGCACACGACAUAUCUGUUUGGCAACUAACCUCCCUACAAAGAUAAUUACUAGUAAUACAAGUAUUAAUCUACCUCUCCCCUUUUCAGGAUGUUUGACUAAUGUUACCUGGUUAGAUCUUAAUGACACCCAAUAUUAUUUCAGCGACACAAUCACUUUAGACAAACAUAUUAAUGCCCUAUUAUGCUCUCUGCCUUUUAAAGAUUACCAUCUACCUCUUGAGACUAUUGUCUCCUUAAUGAAAGGAAAACAAAAUAUGUUUAAACAUCUUGUUACACAUAAUGAUGCUAUAGUACACACACAGGUAGCCACACAUAUCCUAAAAGGAGAACUCCUUAAGGUGAGUUCACAAAUUCAGAAUGAUUUAGCCCAUCAUUGAUACGAUGCUUUUACAGGUUGGUCCCCUACUGGAUCCCAGAUAAUGAAAUCAUUCUUCUAUCCUCUUGUUAUUAUAGUCCUGAUUGUAUUGGGUAUGAUUUUAUAUAACUGCCAUCUUACUUGUACAUUGAGGAAGAGAAUACAGAAAUUAAUCCAUAAUGCAGAACAGAAACAAUUGGAAAUUCUCCUCUCUGCCACUGGAGGCUAUCAACCCAUCUUUAAAACUGGGCCUUAGGAAUUACCACAUGGGAAUCGAGGUGAAGAAAUUAAUGAAAGUCCCGCAAGGAGUGACUAGCACCCCUGAAAAUACCAUGUGGAAGUUUCUCUGACCUGGGAAGAUCUUAUCAAUGAUAUGAGCAAAUUAAUUGCUCAAAGAGGGGGAUGUAAGGAAGUAAAAUGGUUAACUCUUUUUGCUUUAUAUGCUUUAAAAUAAUGUUUGAAAUAAUUAUGCUGACUUUGGCAGAUGUAUUUUGUACCAAGGCCUUUCCUCUACAGGAUGUAUGACCUUCCUUGACCUUAAGAUGUUCCUGUCUCGUCUUCAUCCAAAUGCUUAUCUUUUUCAUGUCCGACAAGUAUGUACUAUUAACCACAAGGACACUAUAGACUUCACUGCUUGCAUGAGAAAUUGUGUAUAAAUGCUAGCCCUGAAAAUAUACUCAUUGAGAACUUGUUAUGCACUCUUUCGUGUCUGUGUGUCUUAUUUGCUAAACAAGAUCUCCCAUAAAUUGAUGUGGUGAUCGAAGGAGCGAGAAUCGAGGGGAGUUGAGUCCAGAACAGCAUUUAUCCUUUCAGCAGACACACAGACACAUACAGAGACAGACACACACAGACACAUACAUACACACAUAAAUAGAGAGGCACACACACUCAUACAGAGACACAGACACACACAUACAGAGACACGCACACAUACAGAGACACAGACACACACAUACAGAGACACGCACACAUACAGAGACACAGACACACACAUACAGAGACGCACACAUACAUACAGAGACACACACAUACAGAGACACAGACACACACAUACAGACACACAGAUACAUACAGACACACACACACAUACAGACACACACACACAUACAGACACACACACACAUACAGAAACACACAGAUACAUACAGACACACGCACAUACAGAGACACACACACAUACAGAGACACACAGAUACAUACAGACACA